Molecule: ribosomal RNA, 490 nt
Filed under: uncultured bacterium
Lineage: Bacteria
Description: partial 16S ribosomal RNA
Rfam family: Bacterial small subunit ribosomal RNA
Source: RNAcentral
AGUGAACGCUGGCGGUAGGCCUAACACAUGCAAGUCGAACGGCAGCACAGUAAGAGCUUGCUCUUACGGGUGGCGAGUGGCGGACGGGUGAGGAAUACAUCGGAAUCUACUUUUUCGUGGGGGAUAACGUGGGAAACUUACGCUAAUACCGCAUACGACCUACGGGUGAAAGCAGGGGAUCUUCGGACCUUGCGCGAUUGAAUGAGCCGAUGUCGGAUUAGCUAGUUGGCGGGGUAAAGGCCCACCAAGGCGACGAUCCGUAGCUGGUCUGAGAGGAUGAUCAGCCACACUGGAACUGAGACACGGUCCAGACUCCACGGGAGGCAGCAGUGGGGAAUAUUGGACAAUGGGCGCAAGCCUGAUCCAGCCAUACCGCGUGGGUGAAGAAGGCCUUCGGGUUGUAAAGCCCUUUUGUUGGGAAAGAAAAGCAGCAGGUUAAUACCCCGCUGUUCUGACGGUACCCAAAGAAUAAGCACCGGCUAACUUCGUG